GACAGAGGUGCCGAGCGUUAGGCGGAAUCACUGGGCUUAAAGCGUGUGUAGGCGGACCCCUAAGCGCCAUUGUGAAAUCCCGCCGCUCAACGGCGGAACCGCGUGGCGGACUGGGGGUCUUGAGGGACCCAGGGGCGAGCGGAACAGGCGGUGGAGCGGUGAAAUGCGUAGAUAUCGCCUGGAACGCCGACGGUGAAAACAGCUCGCUGGGGGUCAUCUGACGCUGAGACACGAAAGCCAGGGGAGCGAACGGG
RNAcentral lists this ribosomal RNA (254 nucleotides) under uncultured bacterium. RNAcentral's name for it is "partial 16S ribosomal RNA". It matches the Rfam family "Bacterial small subunit ribosomal RNA", at positions 524 to 776 of the family's 1533-position model. The record is from RNAcentral.